This 1425-nucleotide long non-coding RNA is filed under the name Helianthus annuus (common sunflower). RNAcentral describes it as "hypothetical non coding rna". Lineage: Eukaryota; Viridiplantae; Streptophyta; Magnoliopsida; Asterales; Asteraceae. The record is from RNAcentral.
UCUCUCAGCCAAUCUCUCAGCCAAUUCCUUCUUCUUCCCUUCAAUGCACAGCGAUCUACAAGAUGAUAAAGGCGUUUGGUUUAUGAUGUGCUUUUGAAGCAGGCAACUUUAGUUAAAGAUCAAGUUAUUGAGGUUAAACUAGAUAUUAUGCUUCUUUAAAUAGUUGGGUUAUUGGGUGAAUCUUUUGGUCUUUUGACAGAAGUGAAGAAGUUUGUUCAGAGUAUGCCAAGACACUCUAUUUAGGUCAGUUAGCCUAUUUUUUUGCUCCUUAAAUUUCUUACAAGAAUUUGAAUUUACUUUUUCUUAACUUUAUUUGGGUUAACUGAAUUGUUUAUAAUAUGACAUUUAAAAGAACCAUGCUAAUAGCCCAUAAGAGGCGAAAAGCUAUCUGGGCGAUUUAUGGUGAGGAUUAUGUAUCGGUAUGUCUAAAUGAUGGUUACAAAUGUGAAAAUUUUCUAGAUCGACUUGUGUUAUAGGUUGAAGCUUGAGCUUUCUUAGCAAUAACUGAUUAAAAUGAUGUUGUAUACUUUGAAGGGUCUAUCACGAUACCGUUGAGCUAUCUUUUUUUGGAUUUGUACAAAAUAUUUUGAUAGCAUGGGUAUUUAGACUGGUCAUCCUCUUCCAGCUUCUAUUAUUUCUUUUCUUGAGUGGUGAGAUAAUUUAAAAUAUAGCGCGUUAAAAUGAUUCAUGUAGUAUAGAGUAUGAUUUGAUCUUUUGAUUCUAAUCAAUUCCUUUUACAUAUUUGAUUGUUUGGACUUAUGUGGCAAGCAGAUGAUGUUGCUUCAGUUGCACUCAUUCCAACUCCAGUUUCAGUUUCAACAAAUCCAAAGUGGCUACUGAACUCGCAUUAAAAUACAUUACACUUAGACCUUUCAGUUGGGAUCAAGAUACUGACAAAGUCAAUGGUAAUACCAACGGUUCUAGGAACAAAACCAGAAUUACUCUGACAAUUUAUGUGUUCUUUUGAACGAAGAUAGAAUCUUGAUUAUAAAAAAGAACUCCAAAUCUAAUGAAUCUGUUUGGUUUCUUGAGGUAAUAGUAUUCACAUUUAUUGAUCUUGAAAUGAUAGCGUUCGUUAGGUUUUAUUAGGUGGACACACAAUUUAGACGAGACCAAAAAAGUUUGAAACAAAAGUUGUUGCUUGGAGUGAGGGGUUAUUGGUAAUGCUGAGCGGCCCAUAGUAAUUAGUAGCCCGUGUAUGUCGGGUUUGUAAUAUGUCAAAAACGUUUUGUCAAGUGAUGGUUUGAUUUGAAUUCACUAAAUUUUAUGGUUUGCAAGUAUAUCAUGAAGAUAUGAAGAUGUUUUGAUGAUGAUACCAAGUUUAAACCACUAUAACUAAAUGAAAUUGUUCUGACUUAUUUAGAGAUGUAUGAACAAUUUAUAUAUUUUGUUUAAAAAUUAUGUGUAUUUAAUUUUCAACUUAUU